RNAcentral lists this non-coding RNA (45 nucleotides) under Schistosoma margrebowiei. The record is from RNAcentral. Lineage: Eukaryota; Metazoa; Platyhelminthes; Trematoda; Strigeidida; Schistosomatidae.
ACUUAAAUGAUCAGUCCCAAAUAGGACGAAACACUCGUCCUAGAU